RNAcentral lists this ribosomal RNA (252 nucleotides) under uncultured bacterium. Its description in RNAcentral is "partial 16S ribosomal RNA". It matches the Rfam family "Bacterial small subunit ribosomal RNA", at positions 524 to 776 of the family's 1533-position model. The record is from RNAcentral.
UACGUAGGUCCCGAGCGUUGUCCGGAUUUAUUGGGCGUAAAGCGAGCGCAGGUGGUUUAUUAAGUCUGGUGUAAAAAGCAGUGGCUCAACCAUUGUAUGCAUUGGAAACUGGUAGACUUGAGUGCAGGAGAGGAGAGUGGAAUUCCAUGUGUAGCGGUGAAAUGCGUAGAUAUAUGGAGGAACACCGGUGGCGAAAGCGGCUCUCUGGCCUGUAACUGACCCUGAGGCUCGAAAGCGUGGGGAGCAAACAGG